RNAcentral lists this ribosomal RNA (442 nucleotides) under uncultured bacterium. RNAcentral describes it as "partial 16S ribosomal RNA". It matches the Rfam family "Bacterial small subunit ribosomal RNA", at positions 338 to 795 of the family's 1533-position model. The record is from RNAcentral.
CCUACGGGGGGCUGCAGUGGGGGAUAUUGCACAAUGGGGGAAACCCUGAUGCAGCGACGCCGCGUGGGGGAAGAAGUAUUUCGGUAUGUAAAGCCCUAUCAGCAGGGGAGAAGAAAUGACGGUAACUGAGUAAGAAGCACCGGCUAAAUACGUGCCAGCAGCCGCGGUAAUACGUAUGGUGCAAGCGUUAUCCGGAGUUACUGGGUGGAAAGGGAGCGCAGGCGGCACGGCAAGCCUGAUGUGAAAGCCAGCGGCCCAACCGCGGGACGGCAUUGGAAACUACCGGGCUGGAGUGCCGGAGAGGUAGGCGGAAUUCGUGGUGUAGCGGUGAAAUGCGUAGAUAUUAGGAGGAACACCAGUGGCGAAGGCGGCCUACUGGACGGUGACUGACGCUGAGGCUCGAAAGCGUGGGGAGCGAACAGGAUUAGAUACCCCAGUAGUC